RNAcentral lists this unclassified non-coding RNA (340 nucleotides) under Hevea brasiliensis (rubber tree). The record is from RNAcentral. Lineage: Eukaryota; Viridiplantae; Streptophyta; Magnoliopsida; Malpighiales; Euphorbiaceae.
AUUUUUUGCUUCUCAGCUGCUUCAAUAUCAGCAACCCUAGACAUUGAAUCAACACGAACACGCGCACCAUAGAUCUUUACUUUGUCUGUGUCCAUUGCAGUAUUUGCCACCAAAAUUUUUGCAUUCUCUAUGCGCUUUGGUUGCCCAAUACCUAUUUUUUUGUCAAGAAUAAAUCCUUCAUCCAAGAAAGAUUCCUUCAGUGAACCCCCAGGCUUCUUGAUAAUUUGAAUAGACUCUAAGUUUGUACUACCCUUUAGCCUCAAAACAGCAUCCACAGCUAGUUUUGCAAAAUGUUCCUUAUCCUGUGAUAAAAUUUUGGAACUCAAAGUGGUCAUUGCAA